UGAGUUGGUCAGGCAAUCGCCGGUCUAUUGAAGCCUCUAACGUCGCACAAGCGUAAACCGGGGGACAAGUAGGCGGGAGGAAAGUCCGGGCUACACAGGGCAGAGUGCCGGAUAACGUCCGGGGGGCGAGAGCCUACGACAAGUGCAGCAGAGAGCAAACCGCCGAUGGCUCGCAAGAGAUCAGGUAAGGGUGAAAGGGUGCGGUAAGAGCGCACCGUGCCGCCGGUAACGGUUGGCAGCAGGGUAAACUCCACUCGUAGCAAGACCAAAUAGGAAUCCAAUGAAUGGCCCGUUCAGGAUUCGGGUAGGUUGCUUGAGCGUAUGUGUAAAUGUGCGCCUAGAUGAAUGAUUGUCCACGACAGAACCCGGCUUAUCGACCAACUCCAUUU
This is a non-coding RNA of Aggregatibacter actinomycetemcomitans D11S-1, 389 nucleotides long. The record is from Rfam. NCBI's taxonomy places the organism in Bacteria, Pseudomonadati, Pseudomonadota, Gammaproteobacteria, Pasteurellales, Pasteurellaceae.